AUAAUACUCCCUCCGUCCGGAAAUACUUGUCCUAUAAAUGGAUGUAUCUAGACUUGUUUUAGUUACAGAUACAUCCAUUUUAUUCAUUUAUAGGACAAGUAUUUCUGGACGGAGGGAGUACAAC
This 124-nucleotide microRNA precursor is filed under the name Hordeum vulgare. RNAcentral's name for it is "microRNA MIR1122". It matches the Rfam family "MIR1120/MIR1122 microRNA precursor family". Lineage: Eukaryota; Viridiplantae; Streptophyta; Magnoliopsida; Poales; Poaceae. The record is from RNAcentral.